This 528-nucleotide ribosomal RNA is filed under the name uncultured bacterium. RNAcentral's name for it is "bacterial SSU rRNA". It matches the Rfam family "Bacterial small subunit ribosomal RNA", at positions 777 to 1304 of the family's 1533-position model. The record is from RNAcentral.
AAUAGAUACCCGGGUAGUCCAUGCCGUAAACGUUGGGAACUAGAUGUAGGGCCUGUUCCACGGGUUCUGUGUCGUAGCUAACGCAUUAAGUUCCCCGCCUGGGGAGUACGGCCGCAAGGCUAAAACUCAAAGGAGUUGACGGGGGCCCGCACAAGCGGCGGAGCAUGCGGAUUAAUUCGAUGCAACGCGAAGAACCUUACCAAGGCUUGACAUAUAGAAGAACACUGCAGAGAUGCAGGACUCUUUGGACACUUCUAUACAGGUGGUGCAUGGUUGUCGUCAGCUCGUGUCGUGAGAUGUUCGGUUAAGUCCGGCAACGAGCGCAACCCUCGUCCUAUGUUGCCAGCGGUUCGGCCGGGAACUCAUGGGAUACUGCCGUGGUCAACACGGAGGAAGGUGGGGAUGACGUCAAAUCAUCAUGCCCCUUAUGUCUUGGGCUUCACGCAUGCUACAAUGGCCGGUACAAAGAGCUGCGAUACCGCGAGGUGGAGCGAAUCUCAAAAAGCCGGUCUCAGUUCGGAUUGGGGU